RNAcentral lists this ribosomal RNA (254 nucleotides) under uncultured bacterium. RNAcentral's name for it is "partial 16S ribosomal RNA". It matches the Rfam family "Bacterial small subunit ribosomal RNA", at positions 524 to 777 of the family's 1533-position model. The record is from RNAcentral.
UACGGGGGGUGCGAGCGUUGUCCGGAAUCACUGGGCGUAAAGGGCGCGUAGGUGGCCUGGUAAGUCUGUGGUGAAAGCCCGGAGCUCAACUCCGGGUCUGCCGCGGAUACUGCGAGGCUUGAGUGCUGUAGAGGGGGGUAGAAUGCCGGGUGUAGCGGUGGAAUGCGUAGAGAUCCGGCAGAAGACCGGUGGCGAAGGCGGCCCCCUGGGCAGUAACUGACACUGAGGCGCGACAGCGUGGGGAGCAAACAGGG